CAGUCAGAGGUGAAAUCCCAGGGCUCAACCCUGGAACUGCCUCUAAAACUCCUAAUCUUGAGUUCGAGAGAGGUGAGUGGAAUUCCGAGUGUAGAGGUGAAAUUCGUAGAUAUUCGGAAGAACACCAGUGGCGAAGGCGACUCGCUGGACAGGUAUUGACGCUGAGGUUCGAAAGCGUGGGGAGCAAACAGGAUUAGAUACCCUGGUAGUCCACGCCGUAAACGAUGAUAACUAGCUGUCCGGGCUCACAGAGCUUGGGUGGCGCAGCUAACGCAUUAAGUUAUCCGCCUGGGGAGUACGGUCGCAAGAUUAAAACUCAAAGGAAUUGACGGGG
This 334-nucleotide ribosomal RNA is filed under the name Oxyrrhis marina. RNAcentral describes it as "partial Bacterial small subunit ribosomal RNA". It matches the Rfam family "Bacterial small subunit ribosomal RNA", at positions 585 to 918 of the family's 1533-position model. The record is from RNAcentral. Lineage: Eukaryota; Dinophyceae; Oxyrrhinales; Oxyrrhinaceae.